RNAcentral lists this ribosomal RNA (253 nucleotides) under uncultured bacterium. Its description in RNAcentral is "partial 16S ribosomal RNA". It matches the Rfam family "Bacterial small subunit ribosomal RNA", at positions 524 to 776 of the family's 1533-position model. The record is from RNAcentral.
UACGGGGGGGGCAAGCGUUGUUCGGAAUUACUGGGCGUAAAGGGCUCGUAGGCGGCCAACUAAGUCGGAUGUGAAAUCCCCAGGCUUAACCGGGGAACUGCGUCUGAUACUGGAUGGCUUGAGUUUGGGAGAGGGAUGCGGAAUUCCAGGUGUAGCGGUGAAAUGCGUAGAUAUCGGGAAGAACACCCGUGGCGAAGGCGGCUCUCUGGAACGCAACUGACGCUGAGACGCGAAAGCGUGGGGAGCAAACAGG